This 1399-nucleotide ribosomal RNA is filed under the name Cainia graminis. RNAcentral's name for it is "eukaryotic LSU rRNA". It matches the Rfam family "Eukaryotic large subunit ribosomal RNA", at positions 30 to 1456 of the family's 3401-position model. The record is from RNAcentral. Lineage: Eukaryota; Fungi; Ascomycota; Sordariomycetes; Xylariales; Cainiaceae.
GAACUUAAGCAUAUCAAUAAGCGGAGGAAAAGAAACCAACAGGGAUUGCCCUAGUAACGGCGAGUGAAGCGGCAACAGCUCAAAUUUGAAAUCUGGCUCUCGGGCCCGAGUUGUAAUUUGUAGAGGAUGCUUCUGGCGCGGUGCCUUCCGAGUUCCCUGGAACGGGACGCCUUAGAGGGUGAGAGCCCCGUACGGUCGGACACCAAGCCUAUGUGAAGCUCCUUCGACGAGUCGAGUAGUUUGGGAAUGCUGCUCUAAAUGGGAGGUAAAUUUCUUCUAAAGCUAAAUAUUGGCCAGAGACCGAUAGCGCACAAGUAGAGUGAUCGAAAGAUGAAAAGCACUUUGAAAAGAGGGUUAAACAGCACGUGAAAUUGUUGAAAGGGAAGCGUUUGCGACCAGACUUUUUCCCGGCGGAUCAUCCGGCGUUCUCGCCGGUGCACUUCGCCGGGUCAAGGCCAGCAUCGGUUUCCGGAGGGGGACAAAAGCUUUGGGAACGUGGCUCCUUCGGGAGUGUUAUAGCCCUUUGCAUAAUGCCCCUCUGGGGACCGAGGUUCGCGCAUCUGCAAGGAUGCUGGCGUAAUGGUCGUCAACGACCCGUCUUGAAACACGGACCAAGGAGUCGAACAUUUGUGCAAGUGUUAGGGUGUCAAACCCCUGCGCGUAAUGAAAGUGAACGGAGGUGAGAGCCCUUACGGGUGCAUCAUCGACCGAUCCUGAUGUUUUCGGAUGGAUUUGAGUAAGAGCAUAACUGUUCGGACCCGAAAGAUGGUGAACUAUGCGUGGGUAGGGUGAAGCCAGAGGAAACUCUGGUGGAGGCUCGCAGCGGUUCUGACGUGCAAAUCGAUCGUCAAACCUGCGCAUGGGGGCGAAAGACUUAUCGAACCAUCUAGUAGCUGGUUACCGCCGAAGUUUCCCUCAGGAUAGCAGUGUUGUUUUCAGUUUUAUGAGGUAAAGCGAAUGAUUAGGGACCUGGGGGCGCUAUAUAGCCUUCAUCCAUUCUCAAACUUUAAAUAUGUAAGAAGCCCUUGUUGCUUAAUUGAACGUGGGCAUUCGAAUGUAUCAACACUAGUGGGCCAUUUUUGGUAAGCAGAACUGGCGAUGCGGGAUGAACCGAACGCGGGGUUAAGGUGCCAGAGUGGACGCUCAUCAGACACCACAAAAGGUGUUAGUACAUCCAGACAGCAGGACGGUGGCCAUGGAAGUCGGAAUCCGCUAAGGACUGUGUAACAACUCACCUGCCGAAUGUACUAGCCCUGAAAAUGGAUGGCGCUCAAGCGUCUCACCCAUACCUCGCCCCUAAGGUAGGACCGAUGCCUUAGGGAGUAGGCGGCCGUGGGGGUCAGUGACGAAGCCUAGGGCGUGAGCCCGGGUUGAACGGCCUCUAGUGCAGAUCUUGGUG